CAUUGGGUUGGUGCAAAAGGAUUUGUGGUUUUUGCCUGUAAAAGUAAUGGCAAAAACCGCAAUUCCUUUUGCACCAACCUAAU
MicroRNA precursor from Macaca nemestrina (pig-tailed macaque), 83 nucleotides. The record is from Ensembl. NCBI's taxonomy places the organism in Eukaryota, Metazoa, Chordata, Mammalia, Primates, Cercopithecidae.